UUUCAAGUUGGCAAGAAACUACUGGCGAUUUCCCAGAAGCAAGCGGCAACUCCAGAUUUUACAGGACACCAGAUGGCAGACUUGCUCUUUAAUAAGCCCCGAGAAAGAUUUUACUGUGCUUGGAAAUUUACUCAGAAACUUUCAAGAUCCUUCAUAAUGUUGCAGUCAUCACGCAAGAAUCAUUGGAUAAAUGAGUAAGUUUUAUGCCAGCCUCUCCCAUCUCCAUCAUCUGAUACUAAUGCAAGUGUGAAUAAAUUGAUUUAAAAAGCA
This 270-nucleotide long non-coding RNA is filed under the name Vulpes vulpes (red fox). RNAcentral describes it as "lncRNA (ENSVVUG00000024263.1)". Lineage: Eukaryota; Metazoa; Chordata; Mammalia; Carnivora; Canidae. The record is from RNAcentral.